Molecule: microRNA precursor, 87 nt
Filed under: Solanum tuberosum (potato)
Lineage: Eukaryota; Viridiplantae; Streptophyta; Magnoliopsida; Solanales; Solanaceae
Description: miR156b stem-loop (stu-MIR156b)
Gene: stu-MIR156b
Source: miRBase by way of RNAcentral
UUGACAGAAGAUAGAGAGCACAAAUGAUUAAGUGCAUGAAAAUUGUAUGCACCUUACUCCUUUGUGCUCUUUAUUCUUCUGUCACCA